Molecule: ribosomal RNA, 710 nt
Filed under: Escherichia coli
Lineage: Bacteria; Pseudomonadati; Pseudomonadota; Gammaproteobacteria; Enterobacterales; Enterobacteriaceae
Description: partial 23S ribosomal RNA
Rfam family: Bacterial large subunit ribosomal RNA
Source: RNAcentral
AUCCGGGUUGCGGACAGUGUCUGGUGGGUAGUUUGACUGGGGCGGUCUCCUCCUAAAGAGUAACGGAGGAGCACGAAGGUUGGCUAAUCCUGGUCGGACAUCAGGAGGUUAGUGCAAUGGCAUAAGCCAGCUUGACUGCGAGCGUGACGGCGCGAGCAGGUGCGAAAGCAGGUCAUAGUGAUCCGGUGGUUCUGAAUGGAAGGGCCAUCGCUCAACGGAUAAAAGGUACUCCGGGGAUAACAGGCUGAUACCGCCCAAGAGUUCAUAUCGACGGCGGUGUUUGGCACCUCGAUGUCGGCUCAUCACAUCCUGGGGCUGAAGUAGGUCCCAAGGGUAUGGCUGUUCGCCAUUUAAAGUGGUACGCGAGCUGGGUUUAGAACGUCGUGAGACAGUUCGGUCCCUAUCUGCCGUGGGCGCUGGAGAAUUGAGGGGGGCUGCUCCUAGUACGAGAGGACCGGAGUGGACGCAUCACUGGUGUUCGGGUUGUCAUGCCAAUGGCACUGCCCGGUAGCUAAAUGCGGAAGAGAUAAGUGCUGAAAGCAUCUAAGCACGAAACUUGCCCCGAGAUGAGUUCUCCCUGACUCCUUGAGAGUCCUGAAGGAACGUUGAAGACGACGACGUUGAUAGGCCGGGUGUGUAAGCGCAGCGAUGCGUUGAGCUAACCGGUACUAAUGAACCGUGAGGCUUAACCUUACAACGCCGAAGCUGUU